Molecule: ribosomal RNA, 1552 nt
Filed under: Streptococcus salivarius PS4
Lineage: Bacteria; Bacillati; Bacillota; Bacilli; Lactobacillales; Streptococcaceae
Description: bacterial SSU rRNA
Rfam family: Bacterial small subunit ribosomal RNA
Source: RNAcentral
UUAAUGAGAGUUUGAUCCUGGCUCAGGACGAACGCUGGCGGCGUGCCUAAUACAUGCAAGUAGAACGCUGAAGAGAGGAGCUUGCUCUUCUUGGAAGAGUUGCGAACGGGUGAGUAACGCGUAGGUAACCUGCCUUGUAGCGGGGGAUAACUAUUGGAAACGAUAGCUAAUACCGCAUAACAAUGGAUGACCCAUGUCAUUCAUUUGAAAGGGGCAACUGCUCCACUACAAGAUGGACCUGCGUUGUAUUAGCUAGUAGGUGAGGUAACGGCUCACCUAGGCGACGAUACAUAGCCGACCUGAGAGGGUGAUCGGCCACACUGGGACUGAGACACGGCCCAGACUCCUACGGGAGGCAGCAGUAGGGAAUCUUCGGCAAUGGGGGCAACCCUGACCGAGCAACGCCGCGUGAGUGAAGAAGGUUUUCGGAUCGUAAAGCUCUGUUGUAAGUCAAGAACGAGUGUGAGAGUGGAAAGUUCACACUGUGACGGUAGCUUACCAGAAAGGGACGGCUAACUACGUGCCAGCAGCCGCGGUAAUACGUAGGUCCCGAGCGUUGUCCGGAUUUAUUGGGCGUAAAGCGAGCGCAGGCGGUUUGAUAAGUCUGAAGUUAAAGGCUGUGGCUCAACCAUAGUUCGCUUUGGAAACUGUCAAACUUGAGUGCAGAAGGGGAGAGUGGAAUUCCAUGUGUAGCGGUGAAAUGCGUAGAUAUAUGGAGGAACACCGGUGGCGAAAGCGGCUCUCUGGUCUGUAACUGACGCUGAGGCUCGAAAGCGUGGGGAGCGAACAGGAUUAGAUACCCUGGUAGUCCACGCCGUAAACGAUGAGUGCUAGGUGUUGGGUCCUUUCCGGGAUUCAGUGCCGCAGCUAACGCAUUAAGCACUCCGCCUGGGGAGUACGACCGCAAGGUUGAAACUCAAAGGAAUUGACGGGGGCCCGCACAAGCGGUGGAGCAUGUGGUUUAAUUCGAAGCAACGCGAAGAACCUUACCAGGUCUUGACAUCCCGAUGCUAUUUCUAGAGAUAGGAAGUUACUUCGGUACAUCGGUGACAGGUGGUGCAUGGUUGUCGUCAGCUCGUGUCGUGAGAUGUUGGGUUAAGUCCCGCAACGAGCGCAACCCCUAUUGUUAGUUGCCAUCAUUCAGUUGGGCACUCUAGCGAGACUGCCGGUAAUAAACCGGAGGAAGGUGGGGAUGACGUCAAAUCAUCAUGCCCCUUAUGACCUGGGCUACACACGUGCUACAAUGGUUGGUACAACGAGUUGCGAGUCGGUGACGGCGAGCUAAUCUCUUAAAGCCAAUCUCAGUUCGGAUUGUAGGCUGCAACUCGCCUACAUGAAGUCGGAAUCGCUAGUAAUCGCGGAUCAGCACGCCGCGGUGAAUACGUUCCCGGGCCUUGUACACACCGCCCGUCACACCACGAGAGUUUGUAACACCCGAAGUCGGUGAGGUAACCUUAUGGAGCCAGCCGCCUAAGGUGGGAUAGAUGAUUGGGGUGAAGUCGUAACAAGGUAGCCGUAUCGGAAGGUGCGGCUGGAUCACCUCCUUUCUAAG